UGGCGGCGCGCUUAACACAUGCAAGUCGCACGAGAAAGCGGGGGCAACCCUGUGAGUACAGUGGCGUACGGGUGAGUAACACGUGGGUAAUCUAACCUUUAGUGGGGAAUAACGCUGGGAAACCGGCGCUAAUACCGCAUAAUCUCGAGAGAGGAAAGCAGCAAUGCGCUGAAGGAGGAGCCCGCGGCCGAUUAGCUAGUUGGGAGGGUAAAAGCCUACCAAGGCAGAGAUCGGUAGCCGGCCUGAGAGGGCACACGGCCACACUGGCACUGAAACACGGGCCAGACUCCUACGGGAGGCAGCAAUGGGGAAUCUUGCACAAUGGGGGCAACCCUGAUGCAGCGACGCCGCGUGAGCGAUGAAGCCCUUCGGGGUGUAAAGCUCUUUCGGCAGGGACGAUAAUGACGGUACCUGCAGAAGCAGCUGCGGCUAACUACGUGCCAGCAGCCGCGGUAAUACGUAGGCAGCGAGCGUUGUUCGGAGUUACUGGGCGUAAAGGGUGUGUAGGCGGUUUUCUAAGUUUGGUGUGAAAUCUCCCGGCUCAACCGGGAGGGUGCGCCGAAAACUGGGAGACUAGAGUGCGGGAUGGGAGAGUAGAAUUCCUGGUGUAGCGGUGAAAUGCGUAGAUAUCAGGAGGAAUACCGGUGGUGCAGACGGCUCUCUGGACCGCAACUGACGCUGAGACACGAAAGCGUGGGUAGCAAACAGGAUUAGAUACCCUGGUAGUCCACGCCCUAAACGAUGCAUAUUUGGUGUAGGUCAUUCAGUUGAUCUGUGCCGGAGC
RNAcentral lists this ribosomal RNA (784 nucleotides) under uncultured Acidobacteriota bacterium. RNAcentral's name for it is "bacterial SSU rRNA". It matches the Rfam family "Bacterial small subunit ribosomal RNA", at positions 37 to 852 of the family's 1533-position model. The record is from RNAcentral. Lineage: Bacteria; Pseudomonadati; Acidobacteriota.